GCCCGACUGGAGCGGCGAGGUCCCGGCCGAUGCCGGCGACCCCGCUGACGGAGCGUUCUGGCCGCUCGUCGAGCA
RNAcentral lists this transfer RNA (75 nucleotides) under Microbacterium sp. Bi98. Its description in RNAcentral is "tRNA-Gly". Lineage: Bacteria; Bacillati; Actinomycetota; Actinomycetes; Micrococcales; Microbacteriaceae. The record is from RNAcentral.